RNAcentral lists this ribosomal RNA (1145 nucleotides) under uncultured cyanobacterium. Its description in RNAcentral is "bacterial SSU rRNA". It matches the Rfam family "Bacterial small subunit ribosomal RNA", at positions 377 to 1533 of the family's 1533-position model. The record is from RNAcentral. Lineage: Bacteria; Bacillati; Cyanobacteriota.
CGAAGCCUGACGGAGCAAUACCGCGUGAGGGAAGAAGGCUUUUGGGUUGUAAACCUCUUUUGUCAGGGAAGAAGAAUUGACGGUACCUGAAGAAAAAGCAUCGGCUAACUCCGUGCCAGCAGCCGCGGUAAUACGGAGGAUGCAAGCGUUAUCCGGAAUCAUUGGGCGUAAAGGGUCCGCAGGUGGCGAAUAAAGUCUGCUGUUAAAGACCGGGGCUAAACUCCGGAAAGGCAGUGGAAACUGAUUAGCUAGAGUACGGUAGGGGUAGAGGGAAUUCCCAGUGUAGCGGUGAAAUGCGUAGAUAUUGGGAAGAACACCGGUGGCGAAAGCGCUCUACUAGGCCGAAACUGACACUGAGGGACGAAAGCUAGGGUAGCGAAAGGGAUUAGAUACCCCCGUAGUCUUAGCGGUAAACGAUGGAUACUAGGUGUAGCUUGUAUCGACCCGAGCUGUGCCGAAGCUAACGCGAUAAGUAUCCCGCCUGGGGAGUACGCACGCAAGUGUGAAACUCAAAGGAAUUGACGGGGGCCCGCACAAGCGGUGGAGUAUGUGGUUUAAUUCGAUGCAACGCGAAGAACCUUACCAGGGCUUGACAUGUCGCGAAUCUAGCGGAAACGUUAGAGUGCCUUAGGGAAUGCGAACACAGGUGGUGCAUGGCUGUCGUCAGCUCGUGUCGUGAGGUGUUGGGUUAAGUCCCGCAACGAGCGCAACCCUCGUCCUUAGUUGCCAAUAUUAAGUUAGGCACUCUAGGGAGACUGCCGGGGACAACUCGGAGGAAGGUGGGGAUGACGUCAAGUCAGCAUGCCCCUUACGUCCUGGGCGACACACGUACUACAAUGGUUGGGACAAAGGGCAGCAAGCUCGCGAGAGUAAGCGAAUCUCAUCAAACCCAGCCACAGUUCAGAUUGCAGGCUGCAACUCGCCUGCAUGAAGUAGGAAUCGCUAGUAAUCGCAGGUCAGCAUACUGCGGUGAAUUCGUUCCCGGGCCUUGUACACACCGCCCGUCACACCAUGGAAGCUGGCUACGCCCGAAGUCGUUACCCUAACCCGGUUUUGGGAGGGGGAUGCCGAAGGUAGAGCUAGUGACUGGGGUGAAGUCGUAACAAGGUAGCCGUACCGGAAGGUGUGGCUGGAUCACCUCCUUU